Molecule: long non-coding RNA, 765 nt
Organism: Sitodiplosis mosellana (orange wheat blossom midge)
Lineage: Eukaryota; Metazoa; Arthropoda; Insecta; Diptera; Cecidomyiidae
Exons: 3
Source: RefSeq, a predicted model, not a curated record
CGCAGCCGUCGAUGUGUAUGGCACAUGCUUUGUGUAUUGUGCAUUAGGCGACAACCUCCAAACAUACUCCGCCGUAUAGUUCAUUCACAGUUUUGUUCGUAUUCAAUUAAAAAUAAAUUAAAGGGUAUCAAUCGGUGACUUCUGCACUCUUGCAUAGAGUCGGCAUUUGAUUUAGUGUGUGAAAAAUUUUUCUGCGGGCGAAAAAAAAACGUGAAAAUGGUUGAGAGUGAUACAAUGUUCAAUAUUGUAAUUCCAACGCUUAUAAUGGUGGGCUUGUUGGUGUUCAACGCCGUCAUUUUUCUUGUCAUCAUGAGAUAUCGCAAUCGAAGCAAAAAUGCGUCGAUCGAAGAGAAUGGCCAAGAGCUACAGGAGCUAACUCGAAUGUAAACUAGCGCACAGGAAUUACACUACCGUACAAAUGACAUACUUGCCUUUCAAAUUUGCCAUCCAGUCAAUUCAGAAAGAACUUAUUUACAAAUGCAUCACUUUUUCAACCAAUAGGAUUUGUGACGUACAUUUUAACAAGACGCAAUUUUUAUCAAAAACAAAAUGAAAAAGAAGUAGCAAAACUUAGAUGGAAUCCAUCCAGAAAAAAUACUUUGACGCACUUUUCCAAAUUCAAAGACUGUUUAAUAUGCGUUUACAAAGCUACACCAAAAUUUGUUGUAAUUCAAACUUGAAUCUGAAUUCCAGUCUCUUGCAUUUAUUUUUGUCUUACAAUUGAAGAAAUGUGAACUGAAUAAAAUUAGACUUCAAGACAUAUGA